UACAGAGGUGGCAAGCGUUGUUCGGAAUUACUGGGCGUAAAGCGCGUGUAGGCUGACCGGAAAGUCGGGCGUGAAAUCCCUGAGCUCAACUCAGGAACUGCACUCGAAACUCUCGGUCUAGAGUGGUGGAGAGGGAAGUGGAAUUCCUGGUGUAGAGGUGGAAUUCGUAGAUAUCAGGAGGAACACCAGUGGCGAAGGCGGCUUCCUGGACACCAACUGACGCUGAGACGCGAAAGCGUGGGGAGCAAACAGG
RNAcentral lists this ribosomal RNA (253 nucleotides) under uncultured bacterium. Its description in RNAcentral is "partial 16S ribosomal RNA". It matches the Rfam family "Bacterial small subunit ribosomal RNA", at positions 524 to 776 of the family's 1533-position model. The record is from RNAcentral.